Molecule: long non-coding RNA, 753 nt
Filed under: Vulpes vulpes (red fox)
Lineage: Eukaryota; Metazoa; Chordata; Mammalia; Carnivora; Canidae
Description: lncRNA (ENSVVUG00000003482.1)
Source: RNAcentral
AAUAUUUAAUAAAAUAUUUAAAUAUCUUAUUUAAAAUAAAAUGGUAAAUAAAAUCAUUUUAAAAUAAAAUGAGCACCUACUACGUGCCAAGAAGCGCUGUGAUUGGCGCAGGGAACGCCCAUCUGUGAACAAGGCCAAUGGUUCCUGCAGCGCGGGGGGAGGGGCGCCACCAGGGUGUGAUGGGUAGGAGAUACAACCAACAGGUAAACUUCAAGGUAAGACCGCCCACUCGGUGGAGAGUCUAAAAAUGGUCAGCCGAAGGCAUUUUUCUUUUAGGAAGAUAGAAUUUCCCCGCUUCGUUUUCCGACCAUGAAUUGUCCUACCUCCAUCUUCUUUCCCUCUCCAACCCCCAAACCAACGAAGCCCCCGAGCCCGGCUACACACUCCUCCUUGCCAGAAUUAAAAAUGGCGCCGACGGGCCGGCGUUAUGACGCGCCCCGACUUCCGACUUCCGCCGGAAGUGCGCGAGGAGUUCCGGGGACCGGGAGGCCUCCGCGCGCUGGUCUCCUGAGCUGGCGAAUUGAGUGCUGCUAUUCCGCCCUGGAGCCGCUCCGCCGCCGCCGCCGCCGGGAUCAUGGUGUUCUACUUCACCAGCAGCAGCGAUGGAGGAUGCCUAUGUUAAAAGACACUAGCUCAGUAAAGCAUAUGUCAUUUCUAAGUUAACUCAUCAGCUUACACUAUUUACAUGGGAAAGGAUAAAUAUGAAAAUGAAGAUCUAAUAAAGCAUGGCUGGCCUGAAGAUAUUUGGUGAGU